RNAcentral lists this long non-coding RNA (698 nucleotides) under Panax ginseng (ginseng). RNAcentral describes it as "long non-coding RNA (PGIN_LNC010603)". The record is from RNAcentral. Lineage: Eukaryota; Viridiplantae; Streptophyta; Magnoliopsida; Apiales; Araliaceae.
GCUACCAGACAUAGAACCCGACGUACGAGCUAAGGAAUGUGCGACACCAUUCGCUGACCGCCUAAGAAAACAAAUACGACAAUCCUCAAUAUCAAGGAGGAGUUGCUUACAAUCAUCAAUAACCAAAUCUAAAGGACUCGGAAAAGAGUCAAAUCCCUGAAUAGCCUGAACAAGAUUGAAAGCAUCUGAUUCAAGGAUCACUUUCGCUGCUUGACGAGUAUUUAACCAGCUAAGGGCCUCUCUGCAGCUGAUUGCUUCCGCCAUUUCAGGAUCCAAAUGACCCGCAAAAGAGCCACACCCAGCAGCAACCAAAGAACCAGCGCAAUCUCUAAUCACCCAACCAUAACCAAGCUAAUGCUUAAUGGGUUGUUUGGUUUGAAGGAAAGUAAUGUUUUUUUCUUUAUUUAAAGGGAGAGGGAAUGAGUAUUCUAAUGAAAUGCGUAAUCAUAUGUUUAUUAGAAUGCUUAUUUCAUUUCAACCGACAAACUUUAAAUAAAAAAAACCCAAGUAAUGUCCAUUCCAUUCUCACAUAUCAGUUUUCACAUCUCUGUGGCAUUGAUAUUAAAAUGAGAAAUUUGUCAACAAUUGAACUACCUACACUGCAUAUAUUCUAUUCCACUUGAAAUUAGAUUAUAUAUAUUGCCACAACUCUGUUCGUUUUGACGCAAGAGCUUGCGUUUGAACCUUCACACAAUCUU